GAUGAACGCUGGCGGCGUGCCUAAUACAUGCAAGUCGAGCGAACAGAUGAGGAGCUUGCUCCUCUGACGUUAGCGGCGGACGGGUGAGUAACACGUGGAUAACCUACCUAUAAGACUGGGAUAACUUCGGGAAACCGGAGCUAAUACCGGAUAAUAUAUUGAACCGCAUGGUUCAAUAGUGAAAGACGGUUUUGCUGUCACUUAUAGAUGGAUCCGCGCCGCAUUAGCUAGUUGGUAAGGUAACGGCUUACCAAGGCAACGAUGCGUAGCCGACCUGAGAGGGUGAUCGGCCACACGGGAACUGGAACACGGUCCAGACUCCUACGGGAGGCAGCAGAAGGGAAUCUUCCGCAAUGGGCGAAAGCCUGGCGGAGCAACGCCGCGUGAGUGAUGAAGGUCUUCGGAUCGUAAAACUCUGUUAUUAGGGAAGAACAAAUGUGUAAGUAACUAUGCACGUCUUGACGGUACCUAAUCAGAAAGCCACGGCUAACUACGUG
Molecule: ribosomal RNA, 497 nt
Filed under: uncultured bacterium
Lineage: Bacteria
Description: partial 16S ribosomal RNA
Rfam family: Bacterial small subunit ribosomal RNA
Source: RNAcentral